UACGUAGGGUGCGAGCGUUGUCCGGAAUUAUUGGGCGUAAAGAGCUCGUAGGCGGUGUGUCACGUCGAUCGUGAAAACUUGGGGCUUAACCCUGAGCUUGCGGUCGAUACGGGCAUCACUGGAGUUCGGCAGGGGAGACUGGAAUUCCUGGUGUAGCGGUGAAAUGCGCAGAUAUCAGGAGGAACACCGGUGGCGAAGGCGGGUCUCUGGGCCGGUACUGACGCUGAGGCGCGAAAGCGUGGGUAGCAAACGGG
RNAcentral lists this ribosomal RNA (254 nucleotides) under uncultured bacterium. Its description in RNAcentral is "partial 16S ribosomal RNA". It matches the Rfam family "Bacterial small subunit ribosomal RNA", at positions 524 to 776 of the family's 1533-position model. The record is from RNAcentral.